Pelobates cultripes (western spadefoot toad) is the source of this 287-nucleotide non-coding RNA. The record is from the annotation of a GenBank genome assembly. Lineage: Eukaryota; Metazoa; Chordata; Amphibia; Anura; Pelobatidae.
GUAAGCACAGUGUUUGACGGUUCUAUUUGACUCUCAGAUAUGUAAUGCACCGCAGGAUGCAAAUGUACUUCUUAGCAUUAGCACCCAAAACAAUUUCAAUUUUUCAGAGUGUACUGUAAGCACAGUAUUUGACGGUUCUAUUUGACUCUCAGAUAUGAAGUGCACCGCAGGACGCAAAUGUACUAUUUAGCAUUAGCACCAAAAACAAUUUGAAUUUUUCAAAGUGCGCUGUAAGCACAAUAUUUGACGGUUCUAUUUGACUCUCAGAUAUGAAGUGCACCACAGGC